GCGGCCGUGGCGGAAUUGGCAGACGCUUUGGACUUAGGAUCCAAUGUCGAAAGACGUGGGAGUUCAAAUCUCUCCGGCCGCA
RNAcentral lists this transfer RNA (82 nucleotides) under Candidatus Omnitrophota bacterium. RNAcentral's name for it is "Candidatus Omnitrophica bacterium (groundwater metagenome) tRNA-Leu". It matches the Rfam family "tRNA". From Rfam's summary of the family: Transfer RNA (tRNA) molecules are approximately 80 nucleotides in length. Their secondary structure includes four short double-helical elements and three loops (D, anti-codon, and T loops). Further hydrogen bonds mediate the characteristic L-shaped molecular structure. tRNAs have two regions of fundamental functional importance: the anti-codon, which is responsible for specific mRNA codon recognition, and the 3' end, to which the tRNAs corresponding amino acid is attached (by aminoacyl-tRNA synthetases). tRNAs cope with the degeneracy of the genetic code in two manners: having more than one tRNA (with a specific anti-codon) for a particular amino acid; and 'wobble' base-pairing, i.e. permitting non-standard base-pairing at the 3rd anti-codon position. Lineage: Bacteria; Pseudomonadati; Candidatus Omnitrophota. The record is from RNAcentral.